UACGUAGGGUGCGAGCGUUGUCCGGAAUUACUGGGCGUAAAGAGCUCGUAGGCGGCUUGUCGCGUUGUCCGUGAAAAUUUACCGCUCAGCGGUGAACUUGCGGGCGAUACGGGCAGGCUAGAGUACUGCAGGGGAGACUGGAAUUCCUGGUGUAGCGGUGAAAUGCGCAGAUAUCAGGAGGAGCACCGGUGGCGAAGGCGGGUCUCUGGGCAGUAACUGACGCUGAGGAGCGAAAGCGUGGGGAGCAAACAGG
Molecule: ribosomal RNA, 253 nt
Filed under: uncultured bacterium
Lineage: Bacteria
Description: partial 16S ribosomal RNA
Rfam family: Bacterial small subunit ribosomal RNA
Source: RNAcentral